GCAUCGAUGAAGAACGCAGCGAAAUGCGAUAAGUAGUGUGAAUUGCAGAAUUCAGUGAAUCAUCGAAUCUUUGAACGCACAUUACGCCCUUCGGUAUUCCGUUGGGCAUGCCUGUUCGAGCGUCAUUUGACCCUUCAAGCUCUGCUUGGUGUUGGGCGUUUGUUCCGCCUCCGCGCGUGGACUAGCCUCAAAUUCGUUGGCAGCCGGCAAGUUGGCUUCGUGCGCAGCACAUUGCGUCACGGCUCCAGUCUGCCUCCGUCCAGUAAGGCUCCUCAUCACUUUGACCUCGGAUCAGGUAGGGAUACCCGCUGAACUUAAGCAUAUCAAUAAGCGGAGGA
Molecule: ribosomal RNA, 338 nt
Filed under: uncultured Ascomycota
Lineage: Eukaryota; Fungi; Ascomycota
Description: eukaryotic LSU rRNA
Rfam family: 5.8S ribosomal RNA (bases 1-125)
Source: RNAcentral